Molecule: small nuclear RNA, 114 nt
Organism: Chiloscyllium plagiosum (whitespotted bambooshark)
Lineage: Eukaryota; Metazoa; Chordata; Chondrichthyes; Orectolobiformes; Hemiscylliidae
Product: U5 spliceosomal RNA
Source: RefSeq, a predicted model, not a curated record
GUACUCUGGUUUCUCUUCAGAUCGUAUAAAUCUUUUACAUUUCCCUAAAGAUUUCCAUGGAGAGCAUGAAUUGGACUUUUAAAGAAUGUUUCUUUUCUGUUCCUACUCCCAAUA